This 503-nucleotide ribosomal RNA is filed under the name uncultured bacterium. RNAcentral's name for it is "partial 16S ribosomal RNA". It matches the Rfam family "Bacterial small subunit ribosomal RNA", at positions 30 to 523 of the family's 1533-position model. The record is from RNAcentral.
AUUGAACGCUGGCGGCAGGCUUAACACAUGCAAGUCGAGCGGGGUGAUGGUGCUUGCACUAUCACUUAGCGGCGGACGGGUGAGUAAUGCUUAGGAAUCUGCCUAUUAGUGGGGGACAACAUCUCGAAAGGGAUGCUAAUACCGCAUACGUCCUACGGGAGAAAGCAGGGGAUCACUUGUGACCUUGCGCUAAUAGAUGAGCCUAAGUCGGAUUAGCUAGUUGGUGGGGUAAAGGCCUACCAAGGCGACGAUCUGGAGCGGGUCUGAGAGGAUGAUCCGCCACACUGGGACUGAGACACGGCCCAGACUGCUACGGGAGGCAGCAGUGGGGAAUAUUGGACAAUGGGGGGAACCCUGAUCCAGCCAUGCCGCGUGUGUGAAGAAGGCCUUAUGGUUGUAAAGCACUUUAGGCGAGGAGGAGGCUCUUUUGGUUAAUACCCAAGAUGAGUGGACGUUACUCGCAGAAUAAGCACCGGCUAACUCUGUGCCAGCCGCCGCAGUAA